RNAcentral lists this ribosomal RNA (1460 nucleotides) under uncultured Bordetella sp. Its description in RNAcentral is "partial 16S-23S ribosomal RNA intergenic spacer". It matches the Rfam family "Bacterial small subunit ribosomal RNA". Lineage: Bacteria; Pseudomonadati; Pseudomonadota; Betaproteobacteria; Burkholderiales; Alcaligenaceae. The record is from RNAcentral.
GGUUCGAUCCCUGGCUCAGAUUGAACGCUGGCGGGAUGCUUUACACAUGCAAGUCGAACGGCAGCACGGACUUCGGUCUGGUGGCGAGUGGCGAACGGGUGAGUAAUGUAUCGGAACGUGCCUAGUAGCGGGGAUAACUACGCGAAAGCGUACAAUACCGCAUACGCCCUUCGGGGGAAAGUAGACCUUUCGGCCUGCACUGUUAGCGUCGAGCAUUUUGAUUAUUAUUGGUAGCAACGGCCUGGCGCGACGAUCCGUAGCUGGUUUGAGAGGACGACCAGCCACACUGGGACUGGAGACACGGCCCAGACUCCUACGGGAGGCAGCAGUGGGGAAUUUUGGACAAUGGGGAAACCUGAUCCAGCUGCCAUCCCGCGUGUGCGAUGAAGGCCGCUUGUAAAGCACUUUUGGCAGGAAAGAAAACGGCACGGGAUAAUACCUCGUGCAACUGACGGUACCUGCAGAAUAAGCACCGGCUAACUACGUGCCAGCAGCCGCGGUAAUACGUAGGGGUGCAAGCGUUAAUCGGAAUUACUGGGCGCAAAGCGCGCAGGCGGUUCGGAAAGAAAGAUGAAAUCCCAGAGCUUAACUUUGGAACUGCAUUUAACUACCGAGCUAGAGUGUGUCAGAGGGAGGUGGAAUUAUGUAGCAGUGAAAUGCGUAGAUAUGCGGAGGAACACCGAUGGCGAAGGCAGCUCUCCUGGGAUAACACUGACGCUCGCGCACGAAAGCGUGGGGAGCAAACAGGAUUAGAUACCCUGGUAGUCCACGCCCUAAACGAUGUCAACUAGCUGUUGGGGCCUUCGGCCUUGGUAGCGGAAGCACGGGUAAGUAGUUGACCGCCUGGGGAGUACGGCCGCAAGAUUAAAACUCAAAGGAAUUGAUUUGGACCCGCACAAGCGGUGGAUGAUGUGGAUUAAUUCGAUGCAACGCGAAAAAACCUUACCUACCCUUGACAUGUCUGGAAUCGAAGAGAUUUGGGAGUGCUCGCAAGAGAACCGGAACACAGGUGCUGUAUGGCUGUCGUCAGCUCGUGUCGUGAGAUGUUGGGUUAAGUCCCGCAACGAGCGCAACCCUUGUCAUUAGUUGCUACGAAAGGGCACUCUAAUGAGACUGCCGGUGACAAACCGAGGAAGGUGAUGACGUCGUCCUCAUGGCCCUUGCGGUAGGCUUCACACGUCAUACAAUGGUCGGGACAGAGGGUCGCUUAACCCGCGAGGAGCCAAUCCCAGAAACCCGAUCGUAGUCCGGAUCGCAGUCUGCAACUCGACUGCGUGAAGUCGGAAUCGCUGGGUAAACGUGAUUCUGCAGCAUGUCGCGGUGAAUACGUUCCCGGGUCUUGUACACACCGCCCGUCACACCAUGGGAGUGGGUUUUACCAGAAGUAGUUAGCCUAACCGUAAGGGGAGGGCGAUUACCACGGUAGGAUUCAUGCAUCAGGUGAAGUCGUAACAAGGUAA